AGUGAACGCUGGCGGUAGGCCUAACACAUGCAAGUCGAACGGCAGCACAGUAAGAGCUUGCUCUUACGGGUGGCGAGUGGCGGACGGGUGAGGAAUACAUCGGAAUCUACCUUUUCGUGGGGGAUAACGUAGGGAAACUUACGCAAAUACCGCAUACGACCUACGGGUGAAAGCAGGGGAUCUUCGGACCUUGCGCGAUUGAAUGAGCCGAUGUCGGAUUAGCUAGUUGGCGGGGUAAAGGCCCACCAAGGCGACGAUCCGUAGCUGGUCUGAGAGGAUGAUCAGCCACACUGGAACUGAGACACGGUCCAGACUCCUACGGGAGGCAGCAGUGGGGAAUAUUGGACAAUGGGCGCAAGCCUGAUCCAGCCAUACCGCGUGGGUGAAGAAGGCCUUCGGGUUGUAAAGCCCUUUUGUUGGGAAAGAAAAGCAGCAGGUUAAUACCCCGCUGUUCUGACGGUACCCAAAGAAUAAGCACCGGCUAACUUCGUG
Molecule: ribosomal RNA, 492 nt
Filed under: uncultured bacterium
Lineage: Bacteria
Description: partial 16S ribosomal RNA
Rfam family: Bacterial small subunit ribosomal RNA
Source: RNAcentral